UUAGGUAUAAUAUGCCGCGCACGGAUGAUGUGAUUGAACACGAUUAAUUUAAAAAACGUAUUUAAUUGUAUGAGCAAUAAACAUAUCAAGUACUCCUGCUUGUCGACAUGUAGGUAGGUAUUUUUAAAACUGUCCAUUAGUACUCCUAACGAGGUGUCACUUUAUUGUACACGAAUAAAUUGAUAGGUUCCCAUCUUAAAUACACCAUUCGGAUUCAGAAUCUUCCAGUUGUAUAUUAAAUACCCCAUUUCCGUCGCCACGCGCUGCGGAGACAUGGCUGGGAAAGAACAAAGUGUUUGGGUUGUUGAGGGCUGGGGGUGGGAAGUGAGAUUACAUUGCUAUCCUCCAUGAUCUAGGAAGACGAGCAAAGCUGGAGAAGUGAGACAAAUCCUCUCAUUUGCUGUCCCUGUUCGAAAAUUGUACAUGAUAAAAACGUUCCUUUAAAAGCCUGAUUCAAUUGAUUUUUUUUCCCCUGAUACAAUUAGAGACAAACCGAAAUGAAUUGAUUUCUGAAAGCAGGCUCCGAGACAUUCAGAAACUAUGAUGUAAUGGACACUGAUAGAAGCUGUGACAAGAAGCAUUCGGUUUUAAAUGGACACUACUUUAAAGUUACAUGCGUUACGGACACACGUUUCAGAAUGGUCUGAAAUGGGAUUAUUUGCUUCCUUCAGGUCUGUGCUGAAUGUUUGUCCAUAACAAUAAUGAUAGGGACAGUGUUGCAAAACUUCAAACGACAUUAAUUAAUGCAGAAUUUGAAAGUACUACUGUUUUUAUGUAUGGAUUGAUCAUUUUUAAUUUACUGUGCUUUCAUAAAUGGGAUACAAUUUACAAAGUCGAACUGUCUUAUCAUGAAACUCGAAUCGAUGGUCGGUAUUUUAUUGCAUCUGUACUCUGCAGACAAUACUAAUUGAUUCAAGAACUCCCACUUUCAUGCUAAGGCAUCAUUCUAAUCUUUUUUUUGUCAGCCCAGCUUUAGACAGGGAUUUUAUAUCUGUCAACCUUAACUUGGAGAAAGGACUGCAAUUUCUCUGUAACCUGAAGUUAAAUAAGAAUUACUCCGAGACCAAAAACCUACAGUUUUCCCCAAUUCUAACACGAAUCUAACGAUAGCCUUAAAUAACAGCGAAUUCUAAUAAACAAGAUGUAACACUGAACCUAAAGACUUCUGCCUCUCCUAAGGAUAAACGUAAAUAAGAACUAAUCAUAAAUCUAAACAAGACCUAACCAUAAACAUAACUAAACCUAACCCCAAACUUUAGGAUGGCAACACCUCCGAACCGAAAUCUAAAUAAAACAUAAAGCUAAACGCUCAUUGUUGUAAACCAAAAUAACUCUUAACCAUAAACCGAAACCCACACCCCCACCUAACACAAGGCCUAUAGAAUUAACUCAAAAAACCUAUACAGGAACUUAAACAAAAUUAAAACAGUGUUUAACUCUAUACCUAAACAAACCUGAUUUCUAAACGUUGGGUUGACAUUUUCACCUAAUCGUAAACUUGAAGAAACCUGUAGGUAUCCCAAACCUAACUUUACCCUAACUCUAAACAAGCGGAAGCUUCAACUAGCCUGAACGAGGAAUAACCCUAAUUUAAAUAAACCGAUAACCUCAACUAAUCUGAAGAAGAUUUGACCAUAACUCAGUCAAGCCACAAUCUCAACUAUUCUGAACAAGGAAUUAUCCUAACCUAAACAAGCCGGCAGCUUCAACUAACCUGAACAGGAUGUAACCCUAACCUAAACAAGCUACAACAUCAACUAGCCUGAACAAGAUAUGACCAUCACCUAGAAAGGCGGCAGCUUCAACUAACCUUAACAAGAUAUAACCUUAACCUAAACAAGCCAUAACUUCAACUGACCCGAAUAAGGUAUAAUCCUAACUUAACCAAGCCGGCAACUUCAACUAACCUGAACAAUUUAUAACCUGGACCUAAAUUUAAAAAAACCCGGAUUUAAACAAGGUCACAGAUUCUCCUUGCCCUCGUCAUGUGCUAAUUCUGAUGUGUUAAGUCUCUUUCGAUGCAAAAACCUAAUUAGCUACUGACAAUUCCAAAGCAAUUUAAAUUUACCCUAUCACUUGCUUUAAACAAUGCUGAGGGAAAGCUUCGCUAUUUUGUUUGCGCUGCUAACUUUUACCUAAUUCUAUAUUUUAGUAAAACUAAGUCUAACUUUUGGCUCCAGGUGCUAUAUUGCUAAAAUCUGUAUAUUUUACAAGGCCGUGGUGUUUGAAAUGCCUCAAUGCAGACAUUGUGCCGCUCAAGAUUCCAGAUGAAACAUGCGAAGGGCGAUGUUGAUGCCUGAAAUUUAGAAUUAUUUUUGUUAGUAGAAAUUAGGUUCAGACUGUGUAUUUCAGAAUUUGCCAAUGUUUUAAGAUUCACUACUCCACUGCAACAAAAUCGGCCUACUUUUUCUGUUACCUUUAACCGUCCCUGAAUAAGGUUAGCAUUUUUGCUUUUCUUACCCCUAAAUAUGCAGUUUUGGUCAUCGUUCAUUUGAAGUGGGAAGGGCAACUACAUAACAGCAAUUCGUGACUAUAACUACACAUACAUCAUUAAAAUGUAACUGUUUCGCUCAACCUCUGGCGUGGACGGCAUCACUGAUUUUCAGGCCUUUUUUGAGAUUUCACUUAAAGUCGCACACUCCUUAUAAUUCGAUUCCUUUAUUCCACAGAAUUCACUCGAGUGCAAUCGAGGACAAGAGCUCGAGUCCUGAAAAGUGGUCGCCAUCUUUUACUUGUGGACGGUUACAAUGACUGAAAAUCUAUUCACAUUUGCUUCUCCUGCUAUGUUGGUGAAAACGUUUCUCCAAAAAUUUCUUCCGUUCCUUUGGAAUCUCGCAAGUCCUGUGAAAGAGAGCAGGGAUCCUGUCUACUCAAAAAGCUUAUUUUUUUCACAUAUUCAGAUAAGAAUUUGCGCCACCCCUUUUCUGCCCGAUCCGCGUUUAAAGUCUGCCUCACAGUCUGGCCGAUGCCACGCAAGGUCUGACCCUAUAACUUUGACCCUCUUAGGUCAAAGAAAUCUUUCUCAAGACGUAACGUCAUGUUCAUUCAACAAUAUAUGUUUCUCGCACGGCUGUAGUUUAUGUCUUGUUAACACUUUUAUUGCAAUCAUCUUGGAUAUGUUUCCUGAAUAUAUUUUACGCAUUCUGUUGUUAGAAAAUGGAUCCCGCUCGUAUUUUGCGUGCCGAAAGCGGGAAUGCCUUGUCCGCUUUGCCGUGAUGUUACCCACUCCCCCUCCUCCCCCCACCCCCAACUCCCCCUGGAACAUUCACUCGAACUGCUGCUUGCUGGGGCUAGAACUGUUUUGCUCAAAAGGUUUUAAUAUUCGUGUAAAAGACCCUCCCCCUAUCCCCAUACUCAAUUGUGAAGGAGCGUAUUCACUCUUUUGUUGUAGUUUGUGUUGGGGGUGGGGAGCUAGAGGCGACAAGAGGAGUUUGGUUUUGCCUGUUCGAGGUGGGGGUUGGGUUCAUAAUAAUAAUUGAAACAAAUGUAUCCUUAUAAAUCAAAGGAAACAACUACUGGUACAUGUGUAGCGUUUUAAAGCAUACGAAUGAUAGUUUUUCCCCUCAGUAAGACGAUUGUAAAAGUGAGCUGCUGUUUCAAUUUCUAAAGCAGUUAUGUCGCAUUCACUUGCUAUAGUCCACUGAAACCCUUGCGGCCUCCGUAGCGCUCACUAUAUUGUGCAGCUUUGUGAAUAGCCCCAUAUCCAGUUGCAGUGCACAGACUACACGUUGUUGAGAUGGCAUUACCUCUUUCUGGUCCAGACUAUACAACCUCCCCGCCCCCACCUCCUCCCCCGCCCGUCUAAUCGCGGACUUCCUGGGAAAAUCAGGCAGCGUUCAUCCUGAAGUGAGUAUUUAAAUUAGAGGAUUUGAGGAGCUCCGGAUGGGAAGUCACCCCCGAAUGCCUCUAACUAAACUCCCGUCUUGGAUCUUAACCCCUUGGCUUCACGUCUGUUUCAAGGAGAAGGGCGUUUGGACUCAGAAACGGAAGGCAGAUUAUAUUUCUGGGCUUCACAGUUUUCUUCUUACUUGAAGCCAUUCACUGACUGCCACAGAGGAUGGUUCAAAAAGAUCCUAGCAUUAAGGAAAUCACCACAGGAAGUGACUACAAAUUAAUUGAAGACAUUGAAGAGAGAGUGGAAAAGGAAGAAAAAGCAGCCUACUGAUCAGUACUUCAUCUAUUACCUUCACCAUCAUGGCAGCAGUGCGUAGCAAGAACAAGAUACAUUGCUGGAAUUCAUCCAGGUUUCUUCAGUGGCACCUACUAUUUCUGUGACCUCCACCACUUAGGGCAGCAAGCAAAUCGAAUCACAACCACCUGCAAGUUUGCUUAAGGUCACACAAUGUUCAAUUUGGGGGAUUAUAUUGCUAUUUCUUCACUGAUACUUAGUCAAAAUCCUGGCACUCACUCUUCAAAAGCAGUGUAGAUGGCACAUCACCUGGACUGCAACAGUUCAUCAAGAUGGCUCAUCACCACAUUCUCAUGAGCAUUUAGGCAGUUGACAAGUGCUGGCCUUGCCAGUGAUAUUUCCAUCCAUGAAGAGAAAGUCCACCAAGUUAUGAUUGUAUGACCCCUGUGUCCAGUGGACAGUGUGAUUUGUGAUAAUCACACACAGCAAUCUUUCAAAUAAGAUCACAAAGCUUUUACUCUCUCUGCAUUAUAUUGAAUGAACAUGGGUUAAUCAUGCACUGUGAUUUAAUUCAACACUUUUGUUGGUUAGAGCUUGCCCUUUCAUUAAGCACCUCACCAAAGAUUUAUUCCAUGAACAUUAACCUAGUAGGGGGAGGAACAAGUAAUAACUUCAUCGAUUUAAAAAAAAGACACCGAGUUUUAAUAGAUUUCAUAAGGCAAAUAAUAUUUUAGUGUUUCACCAGCACACUUGCAAUUGGUCAGUGGGAUGAGGAACUGUCCAAUCAUAACACAUCUGAGUAUCCUAACCUAAGUAUUGUACAUAUUAGAAUCUGAAAUAAAAAAACAAAAUACUAGAAUAUUGCAAACCAGAAAGCAUCAGUGGCUAGUAACAGAGUUAAUAUUCCAAUUCAAUGAAAACCUUUCAUCCUGUUCUUGGUGAAGAAUCAUUGACCUGAAACAUUGACUUUAUUUCUCUCCACAGAUGUGGUGUGACAUACGAAGUGAUUUGACCAUUUUCUAUUGUUACUUUUCCGAGUUCCUAAGUUGGAUUCUAGUUGUGCAGUGAUUUAGAUACCUUGGUGACACAAGGGCAACAAACAAUCUCAAUACCCAUUAGCCAAAAGGGGAAAGAUCAAGAUUCUCACUGUCAAAUGAUUAAAAAUAUGCACAUGCCUCUUGAGUUUUGUUAUUUAUAUAAUAUGGAAGAAGGUUGCUAGAAACUGUCACAUUAGAAUUGUUGCAUAUCGCAUUAACAUUUACAAUAAAAAAUGAAUAUUUAAUCUGUUUAAUGUUGGCUUACAGAUGAAAGGACCUGGAUUUAUGGCUCUCUGGCACCACAUUCACAGGCAGCAGAACUCCUCUGGAGCAGAAGUGACCUGUACAAAAGGGACGGGUUGCACCUUAA
Molecule: long non-coding RNA, 5536 nt
Organism: Chiloscyllium plagiosum (whitespotted bambooshark)
Lineage: Eukaryota; Metazoa; Chordata; Chondrichthyes; Orectolobiformes; Hemiscylliidae
Source: RefSeq, a predicted model, not a curated record